ACACGGUCCAGACUCCUACGGGAGGCAGCAGUGGGGAAUAUUGGACAAUGGGCGAAAGCCUGAUCCAGCCAUGCCGCGUGUGUGAAGAAGGUCUUCGGAUUGUAAAGCACUUUAAGUUGGGAGGAAGGGCAUUAACCUAAUACGUUGGUGUCUUGACGUUACCGACAGAAUAAGCACCGGCUAACUCUGUGCCAGCAGCCGCGGUAAUACAGAGGGUGCAAGCGUUAAUCGGAAUUACUGGGCGUAAAGCGCGCGUAGGUGGUUCGUUAAGUUGGAUGUGAAAUCCCCGGGCUCAACCUGGGAACUGCAUUCAAAACUGACGAGCUAGAGUAUGGUAGAGGGUGGUGGAAUUUCCUGUGUAGCGGUGAAAUGCGUAGAUAUAGGAAGGAACGCCAGUGGCGAAGGCGACCACCUGGACUGAUACUGACACUGANGUGCGAAAGCGUGGGGAGCAAACAGGAUUAGAUACCCUGGU
RNAcentral lists this ribosomal RNA (475 nucleotides) under uncultured Gammaproteobacteria bacterium. RNAcentral describes it as "bacterial SSU rRNA". It matches the Rfam family "Bacterial small subunit ribosomal RNA", at positions 324 to 791 of the family's 1533-position model. Lineage: Bacteria; Pseudomonadati; Pseudomonadota; Gammaproteobacteria. The record is from RNAcentral.